Long non-coding RNA from Ornithodoros turicata, 472 nucleotides. RefSeq lists it as uncharacterized. The transcript is spliced from 3 exons. The record is from RefSeq and is a predicted model, not a curated record. NCBI's taxonomy places the organism in Eukaryota, Metazoa, Arthropoda, Arachnida, Ixodida, Argasidae.
AGCAGACGUGCGCUCUGUUGCUCCGCAGUCCCCGCGCUCGCUCAGUUUCUUCCUGGCUCUUGGAUGGAGCUCGCCGCAGGGGAAAAAGGAUUGCAGACCUUUUGGGUCGUGCGGAGGAAUGGAGUGGACUCGACCGGUGGACAAAGUCACUAGGUGCCACACACUGCCAUAGCCGAGCACAUGUCUAACUGCUAGAUUGACAGUCCCGCAUAUCACAGCUGCAUCCCAAGAUAUUCUUCCACGGACUGCAUGUGCAGUCAUGUUCCAUUUAUCUACAACGCAGCUGCCCAGAGAACCUGUAUCGGGACACGAAAUGAUGGGAUAUGGCCUCGAGCUAUUUUGAGCCCAUCAUACGGGCUCAUGCCACAUCAACUGACCAGUAUGCCUGAACUUUUGCCUGGCCGGUGGAUUCCAUUGGAGCGAAGGGUGAUUGACUCAUCAUAGCACCCAAGAAUCCGUGUACAAAAACACA